AUGAGCAAUGUCAGCGUCUCAUUGGUAGACACUUUUGACAGGCAUGGGAGGCUGUGCUCCCACCUGACCAACCACAGAGGAGGCACGCGCCAUGUGGAAGCCAACGCGGCACGCCCCCACCCCCCCCCUCUCCCACCCCCGGCAGAAAGCAAAAAAAAGAAGAAGAGAAUAGAAGCGAGAAGAAGCGCUGCCUCCUACAUCUGCUUAACAUUCCCACGAAACACGAGACGGGCGAGCUGUCAGCGUGCACGCGCAUCCAGCUCGUGCAGUCGAUGUUUCUGCACAAACGUGUCCGCAUGCACAGUCCAGGAACCUGGCAGCUUCCAGCAGGACGUGCACGUUUUUCAGGAAAGUGUUGAUCUGCUCCAUGCGGGAGUCUCUGGAGUCAAAGACGUCAUUGAAGCCGCAGCUGGACUCGUCCAAGUCCUGCGGGUCCAGGACAGACGGCUCGGUGUCAGAGAGGAAGCCUUCAGUCCUCAAACUUCUCCUCGGCAUCUCACUUUUGGCCAUUCUUCCUGGUCGGUGGAGACUGUGGCGCAGCGAGCAGUGGAUGCUGCACGUGCAGGCUGCGUUUCUGUGCGGGUUCCUUAUUCUGUGUUGUGUAGCGGGUGUUUAAUGUCAGAGGAUGCUGCUGCGCGGGGAAGAGACCCCGGCCCCGCCGCCUGCCACGGCUCCGCAUGGUCCUUGUGCCUGCCGGAACUCAGCCUCUCCAUGAUGGGGGAUACCUCCAACUCAUCUCAAUUUUAUUUAAUAAACCAAUAAUUAUAUCUACAAGACUAAAUUUAAUUCCGUUAAGGCCUUUUCUACGUAAACUUAGCGCGAUUUCAAAGUUUCCUUUUCUGAUGGUCUUUGAACCCUCAGACACUGAAACUGUCAGCGUCAUGACUGUGUCAAUGAUUCUACCAUGAGUCCAGGAUUAGAGCCAGGAACCACUUUUACUUUAACACAAUCAGUCACACCGUCUGCAGAUGCCAACAAAUGUUCUAUCACAAAAAAAGGAAGCUGUGGGAGAACACAGUCAUGUCCUUUGGGCCAAAACUCCUAACAUCCCAUACUUUGGAUCAGACAAAUCCAAAUUUGACAUUUUCAUCGUCUUCCAGGUCAAUGAGAUGGAAAUUUUCCGAGGUCAUCGACUCUGAUGGGAUGCACAUGUGCCUGUUGUGAAGGCAGCCUGCAUAUAAUGCAAAAACAACUGAAUACCAAAAGGUAAACAAGCGUUUUAGGGAAAUGUGUGAUCCCCUCCAAAUGACGACGAUGUUUGGGAACUUGGUCAGUGCAAAACCACAGACGACCGAUGUUACAAACGUCUGCUCUGGAGGAGCCCAGCGGCUGAACUGGCCUGCAAUGAAAGAUAUGGUGGAGCCCUUGACUGUGUGGGAGAACGGGACUGAUUGACUCCUCCCCCUGGCGUUCCAAACAGGAAGUGGCUCCAAGAAGCCAAAAUAUGGUAGACUUCUAUUGAGAAAUAAACAGCUGUUACUCAGUCAUUCCAUUGGUCAGAAGAACCGUUCUGGAUCUGGUUCCUUUUUUUAACAUGUUCUCAAUAAUUCUUAUAUUUAUGAUAUUUUUUCUGUAGUUCUAGUUAUAAACAGGCCAAACAGAUGCCUCAAUUGAAGUAGGCGAAGUGCCUUAUAAUCCAGCGUACUCUUUAGGACAGAAAAUAUAAUAAUCCAAUUUUUCUAGUCUUCUUGUCCAUAUGUAACCUUUGGCAGUAAAACAUACUCCUGAACAUGGUUAGCCGCUCUCUUCAGACUGGGAUCUUCCCCACGUCCACAAAGACUGUUCUGGUGAGACCCGCUCUGAAGAAGAGCGGUUUAGAUGGUUCAGAUCUAGACAAUUACCAACCAGUGUCAAACCUACCAUUUUAAGUACACUUUUAGAAAAGCUUGGCUUUUUAUUACAUUGUUUUAUGAACAAAAAUAGAAUUUUUCAACAUUUUCAGUCUGGUUGACCUCGUCACUCCACAGAGAUGGCACUGGUUAAGGUUAGAAAUGGUCUCAGUUCCAACACUGACAUAAAGAACCAUCAGUUUUAGUUUUGCUGGACCUGAGUGCAGCCUUCCACACAGUUGACCUCUCAGUUCUUUUAAACAGACUGCAUGACAUGGUUGGAAUCACCCAAACAGUUUUUGGCUGGUUUGAAUCCGCCGUCACAGGAAGAGAUUUUAUUGUCAGAGUAAAUGAUGCUUCAUCUGGGAGGCACAGACUGACAUGUGGUGUGCCACAUGGUUCAGUCCUUGGCCCUUCAUUUUUUAACCUGUACAUCUUUCUGCUUGGUGACAUCAUCAGGAGACAGCAUAAACUUUCAUAGUUAUGCUGAUGACACCCAGUUAUAUCUGGCUGUGUGUCCUGAUGACUUGGGACCCAUUAAUGACCUUUUAAGCUGUUUUAAGAUAUUGAAACACGGAUGGAACAGAACAUUCUAAAGCUGAAACAAUCAAGACGAAAUAAAAGACUGGCUUUGAAAUUCUUUUAGUUCUUGUUCUCUUUAAAUUGCUACAAAGAAUUUGACCAUGAGUAAAAAAUAUAUUCUAAAACUAAUCUCACAUAACACCACACCAUGCCUCUUUUUCUAUUUGAAAAACAAAGUCUGUAUUUUCACAGGUAGCUCAUGUGAGCCAACCAACGACUGCUUGGUGGAAGGAACUCUCCAGAAUCUCCUUUGACCUGACAUGAUGGAAAACCUCCUUCCAGCCAUCUGACAUGACCAUUGGGAUUCUGGAGGCGGUUGGCUCCGACUUUGGCUUCUAACACUGUUGUAAUGGCACAAGUGAACUUUUCUGUUGCCACAGUUCAAAGCCAAGCUAUAAAAGUAUCUCCUUUCCGUGACAUCAAGCCUAUUCGUGCUAGCUCUAGAGCACAUGUGUCAAGCUCCAGGCCUCAAGGGCCGGUGUCCUACAUGUUUUCUAGCCAACCUGCCAUUGAAGCUCCGUAUUGGCUAAACACACCUGAAACAGGUAAUCAACAGCAGAUGAGGCAGGAUUUCUGAAAAACCUGCAGGAGGCCGGCUCUCGAGGCCUGGAGUUUGACCCCCCUGCUAGAGGAAUGGAGUAAAAGGAAGUUUUUAAUGAGUUCAUAUUUUAAAAUUCAUUACAGUUAAGC
RNAcentral lists this long non-coding RNA (3101 nucleotides) under Oryzias sinensis (Chinese medaka). RNAcentral's name for it is "lncRNA (ENSOSIG00000005607.1)". The record is from RNAcentral. Lineage: Eukaryota; Metazoa; Chordata; Actinopteri; Beloniformes; Adrianichthyidae.